GGUCUUAUAGUAUAGUGGUUAGUAUGUGCGGUUUUGAUCCGCAAGACCUCGGUUCGAACCCGGGUAAGACCU
This is a non-coding RNA of Pseudocohnilembus persalinus, 72 nucleotides long. The record is from Rfam. NCBI's taxonomy places the organism in Eukaryota, Ciliophora, Oligohymenophorea, Philasterida, Pseudocohnilembidae.